ACCAAAUUUAAUGGCGAAGAUUGUCUACACAGUGUAGUUAACUGCACAUUUGCCAAUACAUUUCCGAUGCAUAGAAAUAUUUUGCUUGGAUUUAAUUUUCAGGGAUGGACCCAUGACCGAUGAAAAUGGUUGUAGGACUUGCCAAUGAAAGGUGUAUGAUUCAUACUACACAUUUUAUUGUGAACAUGGUUUUAUAAAAGAUGAAAUGGGGAACUCGAAAUGUGAAGGCUGUAAAUUAUAUUUCUACUUUUUUUUUAAAAAAAUUUAUAGUCAAGUUUAGGAAAAUUGUAUCAAAAUAAAUUGUUUUGUUAGUCCCAGCUUACCUACCAAACGAAUUACAAAUGUAGUGAAACUAAUUAGUUCGUUUGUCCAAACGUUUUAAAAAGAAAAUUCGUAUUUUUGAUAUAUUGAUUGUUUUUUUUAAUGGAAACAUCUUAGUAUUUUCCGGGUAGUCUUAACCUACUUAUUAUUAGAAGACCAAGAAGUCAUAAAAGAGAAAGAGGACAAAUGAAAUUUAUUUAUUAAGACAUAUAUAUUUUUUGUUUUCUACUCGAUCUUUCAAGAUAUGUAUAAAAGAUACGAAGGCCAACUCAAAAUAAAUGUGCUUAUUUUAAAUGUACGAAAAACAUGAUUUCAAAAUUUAAUUUUGCUCGAAAAUUCGUAACUAAUUUUAGUUAUGAAAUUUGGUUACUCGAUUUUAAUAACAUAAAAUGACAAACUUCGUAACUAAUUUAGAGAAGCUAGGGCAAAGAAUUAUAGAUUAUACUAUAUAUUUAAAAAAUCGACAAUAUGUGAGUUUCCCAUUAUAGUUGGAUUAUUCCUCUAUUUUUAGCCUGAAGAAAAAUCAUCACCUAAGCCUUGGAUCUUUUCAUUUAAACAUAGUCAAACUUUGAAUAAAGCAUUAAUAGAUAACUCGCGUCUCGAGGCUUAUCUGAUCCUCUAUUUGCUGGUAGAAUAAGAAGAAUUAGCAGAUUUUUAGUCAGCAAUCCAAUUAUAACUUCUUUUAUACUCAUAUAUAAAAAGUAUAUUAAAUAAUUUUAUAAGAUUGUCAAUUUUUUCAUUAAGAAAAUCUUUACCCCAAUGGGUAUGCCGUAGAUUCUAGUGAGUAAGUUAGAAAUAUUUUUUAUAUUUUUUUAAAAAAAAUAAUAUUAAUUUUAUAUAAAAUUUAAAAAUAUGAAUUUUUGUUACGCAGAAGAAAUUUAUUGAUUGAUUUUAGUGCAAGCCUUGUUUUUUUCAAAAGAAAUUAUGAGAUAACCGAAUUAAUCUAUGUUUUUUCAAAUAUUUAUUUAUUACAAAAUCAUUUAUAAAUUACACUUUAACAAUUAUAUAUAUCAAUAUCAUGAAUCAAAAUAAUUUUGUGUUGUAAACGAACGAGUUCAAAAUGAACGCAUUCGUGAACGAAGUUCGUUUUUUAGAAAAAAACGAUGAACGGCGUUCCUUUUAUUUUUUACGGACUUUGAACAUGAAUGCGUUCCUUUUUUAUGACGAACGCGUUCGAAUUUAACGUUCGUUCAAUUUUAAAAAUAUUUUUAUUUAUUUGAAUUUAAUAUUUCCGAAUUUUUUUAAAAAAUGUAUUAUUUAUAUUUUUUA
Gordionus sp. m RMFG-2023 is the source of this 1590-nucleotide long non-coding RNA. RefSeq lists it as uncharacterized. The record is from RefSeq and is a predicted model, not a curated record. Lineage: Eukaryota; Metazoa; Nematomorpha; Gordioida; Chordodea; Parachordodidae. The transcript has 3 exons.